RNAcentral lists this long non-coding RNA (760 nucleotides) under Rattus norvegicus (Norway rat). RNAcentral describes it as "long non-coding RNA NONRATT013872". The record is from RNAcentral. Lineage: Eukaryota; Metazoa; Chordata; Mammalia; Rodentia; Muridae.
UCUUUCAGGUACAAAGGAUUUAAGGGCAACUGUUCCAUGACCUUCAUUGAUCAGUUUAGAGCGCUGCACCAGUGUAACAAGUACUGUAAAAUGCUGGGGCUGAAAUCCCUUCAAAACAACAGCCAGAAGCCCAAGAAAAUCCUCGGGAAAGGCAGAGCUCCUUCAAACUCCUCGCCAGUGAAGGCGCCUGAGUCCGGGACGCCCACAGAAAAGAAAACCUAGCAUCCCUCAUCCCUUGGCCACCAGUGACCACCAGCCAGCAACGCACAGGCUUGCAAGUGGACAUUGGCCAACACGCGGGGUCGCGAGCCUGCAGCCUGCAGAGCCUCACUCCUCUUCCGCUCACUAUCACUUGCUGUCUGCUGAAACGAGGAUGGCGAGGAUGGCGUGGGUCUUUCUGACUAGCCCUGUGGGGAGUCUCAGCAGUUCCGUUGAUGGUCUCAAAGACAGCCCACUGUUUGUGUACACAACUAGCGAGUCUACCCCACCCCCUCUCACCGUGUGUCUAUUUGUGUGUUGCACGUGGUUUGUUGACAAGAGUUCCACACUGCCUUGCGACUGGCCACCGUCAAAAUCCUUCCCACCACGACUCCUCACCUCGGGAAUGUCUGGAUGUUUCUGCAAUUACAAAUGUCAAGUUGUCGUAUCAGUGUCACCUAUGCUACUGUUGCUGAAGGUGGCUUUCCAGAUGUGAGGCCAUUUCCCGGCACUACCCACACAGCCUGGCACCUGCUCUGUUUCAUUAAAUUCAUAUUUAAGC